GGAAGUGACUAAGAACACAGCAGUUGAGAAGAACUGGCUGCGAAUGCAACUGUUAGAUCGUGCUCGAGGAGCUGAUAAAGUUACAAUUUUCUUGGAUACUUACGGAUUCGAGUUUGCUAUUUUACAGAGUGUACUAUAAGAGAAAUUUGAGCUUCAAUAAAUUUUUUGAGUGUGAGCUGAAAUAUGAGAUGUAUUGUUAUUCAAUUCAAAUGAAACUAUAAGCUGA
RNAcentral lists this unclassified non-coding RNA (226 nucleotides) under Hevea brasiliensis (rubber tree). The record is from RNAcentral. Lineage: Eukaryota; Viridiplantae; Streptophyta; Magnoliopsida; Malpighiales; Euphorbiaceae.